Long non-coding RNA from Pteropus alecto (black flying fox), 1211 nucleotides. RefSeq lists it as uncharacterized. The transcript is spliced from 5 exons. Lineage: Eukaryota; Metazoa; Chordata; Mammalia; Chiroptera; Pteropodidae. The record is from RefSeq and is a predicted model, not a curated record.
UCUGCGUGGUAUAAAUAGCCGGCGGGCGGGCCGCUGACGCUCUCGCUUGUACCGUUAUCGUGCAACACUUCAGCUCCGAUGCAGUUCACUCGCAGGUCAUUUUCUCUUUCAGCCGCAAUGCUGGGAUUUUAAAUAGCGGAGAUGAAAGGCUCUUGUCCCUGCCUCACAACUCCCUUGAGUUCAUAUAUUAUGAAUGAAAUGCCAACCUCGAGGCUUCCUGGGAUGCUCCACUUCAGGCCACCAUUAUUGGUCACCGUGAUGACUGUAAAAGCUUCCAAACUGAUCAGUACCCUUGCCCUCUACAAUCUGUCUCCAAACAUAUUCAACUCUAAAAUUUUUAUUGCUACCUUGGGCACCUUAACUUGAAGAAGACCAGCUGUUUGCAAGGAGAGGGGGAUUGGAUGAAAGAGUUUGAAAGAAAGGUCCUGCUCACUUACAGGAUGAGGAAAUACAGAUUCUGCCAUACAGAUUUGUCCACAAGAAUCUAACUAGAGAAGGUGAGAGGACUCCUACAUGAAAUGGUGGCCCUUGGGAAAUAAAGCUGCUUGAGAAAGAGGAUGUUACAUAAUGAGGUAAAGAAUAUAGAAGACCUCUGCUCUGUAUAAAGUGGGAUACAAAUGCUACGUAUCAGUGUUGCUUGAUCUGCAGGAAAUGACUUCCUCGUUACCUUUCAAAUUUGCCUUGACUGAAAGAUAAGGGCAUCUAGGCGUAAAGAAGAGGUGACUCUGGCAGACUCAAGCUCUCUGAUGUUUCAAGCUACAAAUAUGUGAACUGAAGUCACGGUCGAUUUGCACUUCUGGAUUUAAAAACAGAUAUUAUUUACAAACUAACUGCCUGACUGACAGAAGGACCCCAGUGGAAGCAGGAUGAGAGUAAACCAGGCUUUUCAGUGCAGUUACCCCUUGGCCUAACUCUUCUUUCAGAAAAUCUCUCUCUGGAAGGGAGGCUUCAAUAGUGGGUCCCCAUCCAGGCACUGAAAAGGCAACAUAAAACCCUCCUUUUGUAGGCAUCUCCCAAAAUAACUCUCAACAGGAUAUGGCUCAUUAUAUUAGUUCUGUAAUUUUAUUUUCUAAAUGAUGCUUGUCUUCAAAGCUUGGCUGGGGGAGCUAUAACUAAGAUAAACUGGGGUUCAAUGUUUUGUGACAAGACUGCCUUAGAUUUACUCAUGACUUUUUAAAAAUAUACAGUUUUUGAAAACCCAUGACACAAAA